Molecule: ribosomal RNA, 497 nt
Filed under: uncultured bacterium
Lineage: Bacteria
Description: partial 16S ribosomal RNA
Rfam family: Bacterial small subunit ribosomal RNA
Source: RNAcentral
GAUGAACGCUGGCGGCGUGCCUAAUACAUGCAAGUCGAGCGAACGGACGAGAAGCUUGCUUUUCUGAUGUUAGCGGCGGACGGGUGAGUAACACGUGGAUAACCUACCUAUAAGACUGGGAUAACUUCGGGAAACCGGAGCUAAUACCGGAUAAUAUUUUGAACCGCAUGGUUCAAAAGUGAAAGACGGUCUUGCUGUCACUUAUAGAUGGAUCCGCGCUGCAUUAGCUAGUUGGUCAGGUAACGGCUUACCAAGGCAACGAUGCAUAGCCGACCUGAGAGGGUGAUCGGCCACACUGGAACUGAGACACGGUCCAGACUCCUACGGGAGGCAGCAGUAGGGAAUCUUCCGCAAUGGGCGAAAGCCUGACGGAGCAACGCCGCGUGAGUGAUGAAGGUCUUCGGAUCGUAAAACUCUGUUAUUAGGGAAGAACAUAUGUGUAAGUAACUGUGCACAUCUUGACGGUACCUAAUCAGAAAGCCACGGCUAACUACGUG